GCCCGGCUAGCUCAAUCGGUAGAGCGUGAGACUCUUAGGAAUUCCUUAGUAUCUCCGACAUCUCAAGGUUGUGGGUUCGACCCCCACGUCGGGCU
RNAcentral lists this transfer RNA (95 nucleotides) under Collariella sp. IMI 366227. RNAcentral's name for it is "tRNA-Lys". It matches the Rfam family "tRNA". Rfam says of the family: Transfer RNA (tRNA) molecules are approximately 80 nucleotides in length. Their secondary structure includes four short double-helical elements and three loops (D, anti-codon, and T loops). Further hydrogen bonds mediate the characteristic L-shaped molecular structure. tRNAs have two regions of fundamental functional importance: the anti-codon, which is responsible for specific mRNA codon recognition, and the 3' end, to which the tRNAs corresponding amino acid is attached (by aminoacyl-tRNA synthetases). tRNAs cope with the degeneracy of the genetic code in two manners: having more than one tRNA (with a specific anti-codon) for a particular amino acid; and 'wobble' base-pairing, i.e. permitting non-standard base-pairing at the 3rd anti-codon position. Lineage: Eukaryota; Fungi; Ascomycota; Sordariomycetes; Sordariales; Chaetomiaceae. The record is from RNAcentral.